RNAcentral lists this ribosomal RNA (239 nucleotides) under Alexandrium margalefii. RNAcentral's name for it is "partial Bacterial large subunit ribosomal RNA". It matches the Rfam family "Bacterial large subunit ribosomal RNA", at positions 2132 to 2366 of the family's 2925-position model. Lineage: Eukaryota; Dinophyceae; Gonyaulacales; Pyrocystaceae. The record is from RNAcentral.
GUUUGUGUAGGAUAGGUGGGAGGCUUUGAUCUCCGGGCGCCAGCUCGGAAGGAGCCGUUGGUGAAAUACCACCCUUUGCAUGCUUUAAUUCUAACGCUGAUUCUCGUGAAACCGAGCAGCGGACAAUGUCAGUUGGGCAGUUUGACUGGGGCGGUCUCCUCCUAAAGAGUAACGGAGGAGCCCAAUUGGUACCCUCAGCCUGGUUGGCAAUCAGGCAUCGAGCGUAAAGGUAUAAGGGU